RNAcentral lists this ribosomal RNA (253 nucleotides) under uncultured bacterium. RNAcentral's name for it is "partial 16S ribosomal RNA". It matches the Rfam family "Bacterial small subunit ribosomal RNA", at positions 524 to 776 of the family's 1533-position model. The record is from RNAcentral.
UACGGGGGGGGCAAGCGUUGUUCGGAAUUACUGGGCGUAAAGGGCGCGUAGGCGGCCUGCUAAGUCGAACGUGAAAUCCCCGGGCUCAACCCGGGAACUGCGUCCGAUACUGGCAGGCUUGAAUCCGGGAGAGGGAUGCGGAAUUCCAGGUGUAGCGGUGAAAUGCGUAGAUAUCUGGAGGAACACCGAUGGCGAAGGCAGCCCCCUGGGUUAACACUGACGCUCAUGCACGAAAGCGUGGGGAGCAAACAGG